CGGAGCGUAGCUCAGCUUGGUAGAGCACUUGGUUUGGGACCAAGACGUCGCAGGUUCAAAUCCUGUCGCUCCGA
Molecule: transfer RNA, 74 nt
Filed under: Verrucomicrobia bacterium Tous-C9LFEB
Lineage: Bacteria; Pseudomonadati; Verrucomicrobiota
Description: tRNA-Pro
Rfam family: tRNA
About the family: Transfer RNA (tRNA) molecules are approximately 80 nucleotides in length. Their secondary structure includes four short double-helical elements and three loops (D, anti-codon, and T loops).
Source: RNAcentral